UCAGUUGGUACAUUUUAGUAAUGUGUACCGGGUUUCAGUAGACAAAAAUACCCUUAUAUAAUGAAUUCUAAGUUUUAAAGUUAAGGGUAUUUUAAUAAUUUUCAUUCUCAAAAUUAAAAAAUAAAAAAAGAAACUCCCUAAACCCUUACCCACCUCUCUCAUCCCUCUCAACCCUUUCUCUUUCAUCUCUUUCACUCCAACCUUUUNUUUUCUCUGUCAUCCUUACUCUAGCCUCAAUUGAAAAAAAAAUCAGAAAUACUUGCCUUACUUUAAUAAUUUUCAUUCUCAAAACUAAAAAAAGAAACCCCAAACCCUUACUCAUCUCCUUCAUCCCUCUCAAUCCUUUCUCCUUCAUCUCUCUCUUACUCAAACAUUUUCUCUGUCAUAUCUGCAAUAGCCCCAACUAAAAAAACACUCAUUAUUAAAUAAAAUGGUUAGAGAAAAAAA
RNAcentral lists this long non-coding RNA (447 nucleotides) under Vigna radiata. Its description in RNAcentral is "long non-coding RNA (VRAD_LNC004171)". The record is from RNAcentral. Lineage: Eukaryota; Viridiplantae; Streptophyta; Magnoliopsida; Fabales; Fabaceae.